GAUCAUGGCUCAGAUUGAAACGCUGGCGGCAGGCCUAACACAUGCAAGUCGAGCGGCAUCGGGAAGGUAGCUUGCUAUCUUUGCCGGCGAGCGGCGGACGGGUGAGUAAAGUCUGGGGAUCUGCCUGAUGGAGGGGGAUAACUACUGGAAACGGUAGCUAAUACCGCAUGAUGUUACGCGACCAAAGCGGGGGACCUCCGGGCCUCGCGCCAUCAGAUGAACCCAGAUGGGAUUAGCUAGUAGGAGAGGUAAUGGCUCCCCUAGGCGACGAUCCCUAGCUGGUCUGAGAGGAUAACCAGCCACACUGGAACUGAGAGACGGUCCAGACUCCUACGGGAGGCAGCAGUGGGGAAUAUUGCACAAUGGGCGCAAGCCUGAUGCUAGCCAUGCCGCGUGUGUGA
This 401-nucleotide ribosomal RNA is filed under the name symbiont type-X of Acyrthosiphon pisum. RNAcentral's name for it is "bacterial SSU rRNA". It matches the Rfam family "Bacterial small subunit ribosomal RNA", at positions 15 to 408 of the family's 1533-position model. Lineage: Bacteria; Pseudomonadati; Pseudomonadota; Gammaproteobacteria; Enterobacterales; Enterobacteriaceae. The record is from RNAcentral.